Molecule: transfer RNA, 71 nt
Filed under: Loxodonta africana (African savanna elephant)
Lineage: Eukaryota; Metazoa; Chordata; Mammalia; Proboscidea; Elephantidae
Rfam family: tRNA
About the family: Transfer RNA (tRNA) molecules are approximately 80 nucleotides in length. Their secondary structure includes four short double-helical elements and three loops (D, anti-codon, and T loops).
Source: Rfam by way of RNAcentral
ACACUGGUGCUUUAGUGGUAAAAUUCUUGCCUUCCCUGUGGGAGACCUGAGUUCCAUUCCCAGCCAAUGUA